This 450-nucleotide ribosomal RNA is filed under the name uncultured bacterium. RNAcentral describes it as "partial 16S ribosomal RNA". It matches the Rfam family "Bacterial small subunit ribosomal RNA", at positions 354 to 796 of the family's 1533-position model. The record is from RNAcentral.
GUAGGGAAUCUUCGGCAAUGGACGAAAGUCUGACCGAGCAACGCCGCGUGAGUGAAGAAGGUUUUCGGAUCGUAAAACUCUGUUGGUAGAGAAGAACGUUGGUGAGAGUGGAAAGCUCAUCAAGUGACGGUAACUACCCAGAAAGGGACGGCUAACUACGUGCCAGCAGCCGCGGUAAUACGUAGGUCCCGAGCGUUGUCCGGAUUUAUUGGGCGUAAAGCGAGCGCAGGUGGUUUAUUAAGUCUGGUGUAAAAGGCAGUGGCUCAACCAUUGUAUGCAUUGGAAACUGGUAGACUUGAGUGCAGGAGAGGAGAGUGGAAUUCCAUGUGUAGCGGUGAAAUGCGUAGAUAUAUGGAGGAACACCGGUGGCGAAAGCGGCUCUCUGGCCUGUAACUGACACUGAGGCUCGAAAGCGUGGGGAGCAAACAGGAUUAGAAACCCGGGUAGUCC